RNAcentral lists this ribosomal RNA (254 nucleotides) under uncultured bacterium. RNAcentral describes it as "partial 16S ribosomal RNA". It matches the Rfam family "Bacterial small subunit ribosomal RNA", at positions 524 to 776 of the family's 1533-position model. The record is from RNAcentral.
UACGUAGGGGGCAAGCGUUGUCCGGAUUUAUUGGGCGUAAAGAGCUCGUAGGUGGUUCGGUAAGUCGGAUGUGAAAUCUCCAGGCUCAACCUGGAGGGGUCAUUCGAUACUGCCGUGACUAGAGUUCGGUAGGGGAGUGUGGAAUUCCUGGUGGAGCGGUGAAAUGCGCAGAUAUCAGGAGGAACACCCGUAGCGAAGGCGGCGCUCUGGGCCGAUACUGACACUGAGGAGCGAAAGCGUGGGGAGCGAACAGG